This 253-nucleotide ribosomal RNA is filed under the name uncultured bacterium. RNAcentral's name for it is "partial 16S ribosomal RNA". It matches the Rfam family "Bacterial small subunit ribosomal RNA", at positions 524 to 776 of the family's 1533-position model. The record is from RNAcentral.
UACAUAGGUCUCGAGCGUUGUUCGGAUUUAUUGGGCGUAAAGGGCGCGUAGGCGGCGGGGCAAGUCUGGUGUGAAAUCUCGGAGCUCAACUCCGAAAUUGCACUGGAUACUGCUCUGCUAGAGGGCUGGAGAGGAGAUCGGAAUUCACGGUGUAGCAGUGAAAUGCGUAGAUAUCGUGAGGAAGACCAGUGGCGAAGGCGGAUCUCUGGACAGCUACUGACGCUGAGGCGCGAAGGCUAGGGGAGCAAACGGG